UUAGGUUCUAUCAAAUUUUGGUACACAAAUAUUUCUGUACACUUUAAUCAGACAUUGGAUAUUGGAAUGUCGAUACCCGCAGCGAAGGAAUCCGCAGGCCCCAUAUCAUCAGGAAGAUGGGGUGGUGCCAGAGCAAAACGAGAUGACCGGGACCUCGAACGUGAACGAGACCGGGAACGAGACAGGGACAGGGACAGGGACCACGAACGUGAACGUGAACCCGACCGCGCCCGUGACCGUAACCGCGACGGAGAGGAGAGGGAAGACCGCUAUGACCGAACGGUCCGCAAGAUGAAAAAGUUUGCAACAUAUUGUGAAUGGGCAUUCCUAGCCAUAUUCAUUGUAGUUGCAAUAGUAGUUUUGAUUCUCUAUUUUACAUGUAAAGAUUGUUUCAACAAAGUACUGGGAAAAAAUAACUAAAUCAAUUUAUCAAAAAUACCCCAAGCAACAAACUAAGAACUAAGAAAGAAGGCAGGCUGUACCCAAGAUAAAUCUCUGAAAAUAGAACAAUAACAAAUGUAGUAGACUGUUAGUUUCUAUCAAAUUUUGGCUUCGAUUUACACACAUGUAAAUUACGUACAAAUGAUAAUACCCGCUGCAACCGAAUCCGAAGGCCCUAUAUCAUCAGGGAGAGGGCGUAGCAGAAGGAGAAACGACGACGACGAUGAUGAAGGCUUUUUCACGGAUCUCUGUGCAAUAUUAAGAGAUCAUCGGAAAAAGUGUUUAAUAUUUCUCGCAGUUGUGCUUGUCAUAUUUAUUAUAUUAUUAGUUCUCGCAAUUACAGUUCCAGAACUGUUUAAUCUGCUAACGAAGAAAAAAAAUUAUUAAGAGUUACGCAAGAUGUUUGCAGACUUGGCGGUGGAAGCCGAAUCCGUGGACCGCAUAGGGUUCGCCUGUUGUUGGUGUCAAAAUCGAAGAAAUUGCUGCUUUGUCAUUUUGUUUGUAUUCUGUUUUAUAUCAUUAACAUGGCUGUGCGCGUCUUUCAGUAUCAGGGGCUGACG
Long non-coding RNA from Drosophila guanche, 1001 nucleotides. RefSeq lists it as uncharacterized. NCBI's taxonomy places the organism in Eukaryota, Metazoa, Arthropoda, Insecta, Diptera, Drosophilidae. The transcript is spliced from 3 exons. The record is from RefSeq and is a predicted model, not a curated record.